CACGGCCACCUUCCCCCGUCUCCUGAGCCUUCAACAUCGGCUGCAGGACGUGGCCUCUAUGGGUCCCAAACUCCUUCCUCUCCCUCCCACUCCUCCCAACCUGCAGAGACCCGACC
Anarrhichthys ocellatus (wolf-eel) is the source of this 116-nucleotide long non-coding RNA. RefSeq lists it as uncharacterized. The transcript is spliced from 3 exons. The record is from RefSeq and is a predicted model, not a curated record. NCBI's taxonomy places the organism in Eukaryota, Metazoa, Chordata, Actinopteri, Perciformes, Anarhichadidae.